CUAGCGAAGAGGCAGAAUCAUUGGGUUCAUAUAUUAAAAGAUCCGAAUGGCCGACUAUAUAGGACCUAUGACCCUGAGGCUUACAAAGUUACAGUACCAACAGUAGCAUAGCAGAUGCUAUGGAAUCAUCGAAAUGCCACUUCAACUGUUUCCCACUAAAACGAUUAUUUGACUCAUCUUUCAGGAACUCUACCACUUGCUAACCUCAUCAAAAUAAUCUUUCGCUUCGCCUUGUUUCUCUUUUUUUUUGUGACGCCAACAAGUGUGGCACUUGAUCUUUUCCUUGCCACUUGCCAGGACACUCGGAUUGUGAUUGAGUGUGCAAGAGAGCCCGGGGCCCGUUGGCAGCAGCCCGGAGUAUAAGAGAGAACCAGAGAACUCAUCGCACAUGCUGACCAACGUCCUGAUGCCUUUUGUUUGGUCAUUUUUGGGGGAGUGUGAGUGAUGGAAAUUUCGAUGAUGUCCAUUCAACAAUGCGAGUUUAUUGAGGAGUAGCAAAAGGAAUUUAAUUUUGUGCGAAACUUUUCCUAGGAGGGGGCAAGGACACUAUUGUCAUCAGUGGAGCAUCAGCUGUCCCUCGGCUAUCCUACUCCUCCUACUUCUGAUUCUGCUGCUUCUCUCUUUAUGCAUCUGACAUUGGAUAGAUAAAACCCAAUUUGUUGCAAAUAAAAUAAAAAACAAUGCCGGCAAGCAAA
Long non-coding RNA from Drosophila persimilis, 695 nucleotides. RefSeq lists it as uncharacterized. Lineage: Eukaryota; Metazoa; Arthropoda; Insecta; Diptera; Drosophilidae. The transcript has 3 exons. The record is from RefSeq and is a predicted model, not a curated record.